Molecule: small RNA, 97 nt
Filed under: Arabidopsis thaliana (thale cress)
Lineage: Eukaryota; Viridiplantae; Streptophyta; Magnoliopsida; Brassicales; Brassicaceae
Description: ATSL232240
Source: RNAcentral
CCGAGAAAAAGUCAGUCUUGUGCGCCGCCCAGAAGAAAAUAACAGUCAUGAUGGCCUGGUAGCCUCCUAGAACGACUCCAGUAGCAAAAAUUUCUUU